AAAAUUCUAUGUAUAAUUUUUUACUAUUAAUAAAAAUUUUUUAUGGUUUAAAAAAUUUAUUUAAAGUUUAUUUUACAUAUAAAUUUUAGUGUUAAAUAUUAAUUAUUUAAAUAAUAAUUAAUAAUUUAUUGUAGUAAUUUAUAUUAAAAAUUUAAGAAAUUAAGAUUUAGUAAUAUUUAAUUUAAUAACUAAUUUUGUGCCAGCAGUUGCGGUUAUACAAAAAUUAAAAUAAAUUUUUUUAGUUUUUAAUAAUUAAAUAAAAUAAUAAUUUAAAUUUUUAAUUGUUAAGUGAAAUUUUAAUUAAAUAAAAAAUUAUAAAAAAUUUAUGAUUUAAUAAAUUUUAUAAAAAACUAGGAUUAGAUACCCUAUUAUUAAAAAAUUAAAAUUGAAAUGCUAAAAUAGUAUAUAAUUAUUUAUUGAAACUUAAAUAAUUUGGCGGUAUUUUAGUUUAUUUAGAGGAAUCUGUUUAAUAAUUGAUAAUCCACGAAUAAAUUUACUUAAUUUAAUAUUUUGUAUAUCGUUGUUAAAAAAAUAUUUUUAAAUAAAAAUAAUAUUUUAAAAUUAAAAAUAAAAAUUAAAUCAGAUCAAGAUGCAGAUUAUAAUUAAGAAUAUAAUGGAUUACAAUAAAGUUAUUUAGUUGAAUUUUAAUAUGAAAUUAUUAAAUGAAAAUGGAUUUAAAUGUAAUUUUAUUUAAAUUAAUGAAAUGAUUAAUUAUUAAAAUAUGUACAUAUUGCCCGUCGCUUUCAUUAAUAAAUUGAAAUAAGUCGUAACAAAGUAGAGGUACUGGAAAGUGUUUCUAGAAAGAA
This 806-nucleotide non-coding RNA is filed under the name Neogurelca himachala. The record is from RNAcentral. Lineage: Eukaryota; Metazoa; Arthropoda; Insecta; Lepidoptera; Sphingidae.